Centrocercus urophasianus (Greater sage-grouse) is the source of this 4881-nucleotide long non-coding RNA. RefSeq lists it as uncharacterized. Lineage: Eukaryota; Metazoa; Chordata; Aves; Galliformes; Phasianidae. The record is from RefSeq and is a predicted model, not a curated record. The transcript is spliced from 2 exons.
CUGACUUUUUAUCUCCAUUAGCAAAAUCUUAUGUAUGGUAACCAGCUCAGAGCUCCCAGAAUUUGGUGUGCACGUUCAUAGCAAGUACCUGGAGCAAGUGUCGUUUUGCUUGCUUUUGCUCUUCUGUUCACUACAGCUGUGGUCUUCAGAGUGAGGUAAAACUGUCCACUGAGGGGAAGAGAGAAAAUGUUUGGACUUCAGUAGUAUGUGUGUGUCAUUUAUAAAUUAGUAAAUAUAUGUAUACUGGUUGUGCAUGCUGAAAAUUUUUUCAUUAAUAGGAAUGUAUGAUCACAAAAAGUUAAAAGAUUGGAGACCCCUACAUUAAAGUACAUGUGGCUGAGCCAUUUUGUAGAACUCUCCAUGAACUGUUGAGACGAAGAGGAGGAAGACAGAGACAGUGCAUUAAAUCAGCAGUGUUUGAUUCCUUUCGUCAUUCUGCUUUAAUUUUAGGCACCAUCAGCAGUGUUUUCAAUUAGCAGCUCACUGAGUUGGUACACCUACAGUUAGAUACUGAAAUAGGUGGGCUGCAUUUUGUAAGCAACUUAAUGCCCACAUCAGCAGCCAAAGUCAACAAAGCUGCAAGUGUUCUUAUCCUAAUAAAUUUAGCUCAGUAAGAGAACUUUUUAGAUUCCUAAAACAGAUUGUAACUGACUUGGGAAAGCUAAGAGGACCCCUAAGAGCCAAUACCAGCAAGUUCUGUUUUUUUCCAUCCUCCUUUGCUGAUGGCCAAAGCCUCUGCUACGAUAGUUUUGAUAUAAGAAUUAUGACAAAAUUAUACAAUAUUUCCAUAUUUUAUUUAGAUCAUUCGUUAACUAAAAUUAUCUUCUGUUGGUAAGAUGUACAGAAUUUACACUCAGUUUCAUCUUGUUGAUGCGAUGGAAACCAAACGUAUUUCUAAUUCAUUUCCCUGUUCAUUGCAGUUGGACUAGAUGACUUUUAAAGGUUUCCUCCAACUCUAAGGGUUCUGUGAUUCUUUGAUAUUAAAGCCUUCCUUCCAAAGAAAGUACUGAGCACAUGUGCCAAUAUAGAGAAUUAGUAUACCAGUGUGAGUGAGUAUUGCUUUUCUGUAACAGCAAAAGGAUUUUUUCCUGUCGUAAUGGAAUCAGAGAGGGCCAACGUUGGGAAGACCUGUAGUCCAAGUUCAGCUGAAGCACAGUACAAUAAUCAGAUCUCCAGCUGAUGUUAAGUUGCACAGUAAAAUCUUCUAAUUGAGGAAUCCAUGAGAACUUGCUACAGGCUCUAUUGUCAUUUACUGUUAAGCUGGUUUUUAGAACUUGGCAUCUGCCUUUUACAGCUGCUAAUGUGCACAGCUGUUGUUACAGCUGCUAAAUCUACAGUUGGAGGAUGGAGGCAUAAGAAUUCUCAUAGUCAUGUAGCUUUAAGCAAACCUUCAAAGCAAGCAAGUUUUACUUGGUCAACACCCAGAAAUGUUUCAAAAUACACAGCACUGUGAUUUUUGUUCUUUCAUAUUGAUAUAAUUAAACCACAGUAAUACUUAACAUAUUGGCAAAUAAAAGUUAGAGUUUAAUUGCUGUGUUGAUGUUUAGGCAAUCUGCUGGUUUCACGGACUUGUUUUAUGCUAAAAGGGAGAUGAGUGUGUGUUGAUUGGGGUUGUAGAAUCCUGUCAUUUUGCAUGAUACCAUUACGUGGGUUAUGUGGGUACCACGGAUUGGUGUUGCUUUACUAAUUGUAUGGGUAGUAGCUGUGCUUUCUCUUGGCUUUCAGUAAUAAAAGAUUUUUAGAGAAAUAGUCAUUAAUAUUUUUUUCUGCAUGUCUUCUUAGUGAAUAUAGUGAGCCUUGAUCCUAAAUGAUGUUGCAGUCCUUACCUCACUGAAAGCCUAAGCACUUUGACAUUUUUGUACUGUUAACUUCAGUCAAAAGGAAGUUUGGUUCUAUACUACUCUUUUCGAAUCUUUGAACUUGCAGAUACCCUGAAGUAUUUGUACUGAAUUCUCACUUCUUGCAUAGUUGCAAGGCCAUACUAAAGUGAUUUGGAGAUGAUAUUUAAGACAUGCUUGGAGCCACCUGUGCCCAACAGCUGAAAAAGACUGCUAGAGCAUACUUCAAAGAAAACCAAGUGGAAUUUUUGGGAGGGAAUGCUAUGAAUCUGUAAUAGCAGAUGCAGGUGGCUGAGUCAAAAUGUAAAUAUAAUUAGAUUAAUUAGGCAUGUCUUCAAAUGCAUGCCUUCAUGGGGUCAGAGGAGAGAGAUGAGUAGGCAGAAUAAAACUGUGCCCCAAUACAUUUGCUGGCAUUGGUUUGCACUAUUCAGAUCUUUUAUCCUUUUCUAUUCCUUUUCACCCCUUUUGCCUUGUAGUUGUAUGAGGCAUGAUGGUUAGUUUAGGUUGUCAUAUUUCCAAAAGUAGAGACCACUACUGAGACAGAUCAAGAAAUUUCUCAGGUAAAGCUCCGAAGAGAUGAUCAAGAGAGAAUUUUGCUUUGAUAAAUCUUGCUCACUUUUUAUGUGCAGUGCUGUGUUGCCUUUGUACAUAAGAAUUCCCAAUGUUAUGUUCAGUCAUCACACAUUAAAAUGUUAAUAUUGAAGGAAGUGUGUAUAUGUUGCAGGCUUGCUGAGUUGAGCCUUAUUCACAGGAGGUGUUUGUUUAAUGACUCAUGUAUUUGUGGAGCUUAAGAAAAUACUUCUAUUCUCGUGUUCCUAACAAAGCCUUAGCGUAGAAAUGAACCCCAACAUUUGCAAUAGAUCACGUGAUUGAAGCCAGUAAAUCAGCACCAGGAGCUUAUUUUCCUUAUUGGCCUACUAAAAAAUAGGAGUAAAGGAGAGGAAAGAAAUACACUUAUUGGGAGACUACACUUCAGUGGGAAAAAUGUGAAAUUUGACAUAAUGCUGAAUAUGAAAUUGGUAUGUAAAUUAGUCUGAAUGAUUACUGCUUUCUCAUUUAGUUAAAACAAAAAGAAUUUCUGCUAUGGAUGAACGUAUGUCAGUGUUCACCAGGUUUGUUAUUUUGGCCAUACUCUAUGCUUGUAAUAAAAAAAACUCAGAAGAACAAUUCCUCAUGGUAUAACACUGUGACAAAUGCAUAAUUUACACAGAGAUAGAGUUUGCAAUGUUAAGGAAAACAUCAGCUUCGUGCAAUUGUUGGAGUGCAAACCUUGUUGAGCUGUUUACCCCAACCUUCCCAAGGAAUUCAGAGAAUGACAGUGCUUAUCUGAAAGUGUGUGGGAGACGGUUUUACUCCUGUGACAUUUGGUUCUACUGCUCUUUGAAAAGAGAAAAACAGUGUAUGUAAAACAGCUUGGCUGAAGGUAAUGACGAUUGGUGGUACUCUGAUUUGGUCCUACUGAAUACCAUGAGAAGAAGAACGUACACGCGUAUGUAUGUGUAUGCAUAGGUAGGUGUGCAUACUUGCUCAUCAUUGGUUGUAGAAGUAAAGGCCACUUCUUAAGUUUUCAUUUGGAACCCGAGAUGUGCGAACAUGAUGCUGAAUGGUUAGCAGAAUCAUGCAUGGUGCCGAUUAUGAACUAUUUAGGAAUGUGUUUAUUAAAAUUUUCUGCGAGCCUUGAGUAAGAAGAUACUUGCUACUUUGUCAUGAAGUCCCUAGGUCAUGGGAUAGCAAAUCGUCAUGUUUAUUGCUGCGGAGAGGGAGCUCAUGCCUGCUGAUCUACUUGCUGGCUGGCCAUCACAGGGGCUGUGCGAAAGGCUGGACAAAGUGUGGCUGAAAUUGUUGAGGGUAAUUUAUUCCAACCAUUCAUUCCAUCUUCAUUCCAAAAUUCCAAAAUAAGCUGAUUUAUGAUGUUUUAAUAAUGUACUGCAUCUCACUCCAGUCUGCUUUCAUAAAGAAGUGAGGGGCAAUUACACUUCUGUCUGCAUGCGGUUCGUUUAACUUUAUUUUUGGAGAGUGGAAAAUGUGAGAUUACAUAGCUAUGGUGUCACAAAGUGGUGCUGCUGUAGCUUUCUGCACCUGUAGGCAACGAAUACAGAACCGAUCUGUGGGAACUGUGAAAGGUGGGGAAGACGUGGAGAAAGCAGAAAUACUACAUUUUUGUAGUGUGUAGUACGUGUUUCAUCUGGCCAGGGACAGGAGCACUGCAUAUGCUUGUGUGUGCUAAUUUUCCUCAUUGCUUUCCUUGAAAUUUCUUUGGUCACUGCUUUUGCAGUGAGCUCUGUUCUGCAAUAUAUUUCAUAAUGCUGUGUGUCAGACAUGCUGUAUGAAUGCAGUGGGAAGUAUUUAAGUUUAUUCUUGCUUUGGCUGUCCUUUUUUUACGUUUGAUUUGUGAACCACUUUCUUGUAUUUAAUGGCUAAAAGUAUGAAAACUGUAGUGUGCCACUGUAAGUGGCUGUAACUGGUUGAUCCCCAGCACUAGAAGCUUCAGAGAGCAAAGGGUUGAUUUACCUUUCUUCUCACAAGGUGUUAUUGCCCUGAAAAAAUCACAUCUGCAGUAUAUGCAAUAGCUGCAUGUUAAAUUCCAUCUCGCAAUUCAUGCUACACUUGAAUUAGCCUCUCAAUUAAAAUGCAACCUGGAAUUAUAGCAAUACCUGUGCUGGAAUGUGACAUUGCAAGAAACCUCAGUUUCUCAAUAUUGUUCCAAUUUGGGCUGACCAUAAUUUUGCAUUGGUGCUAAAAUGCAAAUCCAGGUAAUUGGGUCGGACGGAUAGCAUAGCAUUCUUAAACAGAACAGAAGGUCAAGUUGCAAUAUGUGUAGCUUGCCACCUGUUGUUGAGUAUUUUGUUAUCACCAUUCAGAAUAGCCCGUGUCAUUCUGGAGACCCCGUUGUGGUAGGGCAGGUGGUGACACCAACUCCCACUGUGGUAUUUUCAGCCUUGUUCAGUGUGUGAUGUUUUUACUGUAGUGCCAGGACUUAGGGUUUACUUCUUUAUAUAAGAAUUUUCACUUUUUUUUUUUUUUUUUUUUUUUUUUUUUAAAU